Molecule: long non-coding RNA, 192 nt
Filed under: Cricetulus griseus (Chinese hamster)
Lineage: Eukaryota; Metazoa; Chordata; Mammalia; Rodentia; Cricetidae
Description: lncRNA (ENSCGRG00000025946.1)
Source: RNAcentral
UGGGCCUUCCUGCCCGUGCUGCCCCAGCCCACAGCUCCUGCCCACUCAGUCCUUUUGUAGGAUCUCUUGGUGAAGGAAAUUCUUCUACCACUGGGGUCACCAGCCUUCUCUAUGUCACUUCACAAGGCACCAACAUUCAGAACAACCCCUCAAAGACAAAAGUCACAGCAAAAUAAGUCCUCCUUGAUAGGC